Molecule: non-coding RNA, 998 nt
Organism: Delphinapterus leucas (beluga whale)
Lineage: Eukaryota; Metazoa; Chordata; Mammalia; Artiodactyla; Monodontidae
Source: RefSeq, a predicted model, not a curated record
AAAAAAAAAAAAAAAGAUGUGUACUUCUGCUGUGAGAUUUCCUAGUGUCAUAAUUAAAUCAAUAAAAUUGAACAUUUGUCUAAAUAUUAGUUUGCCCUUUUUUUUGAAUGAAGACAAUGUACAUAAGAGGCUAUGGGCUGUGCCAGUAGACUUUAAAUACUAGUGUUUCAUCAGGAUCCUAAAUCCCAGUUCUUGGCCCUCAGUUUUGUUGUUAGCAUUUGCCACUUUGUAACCUGAUGACCUGCUUCAUCCUGUUUGAGGACCUAACUCCUGCUUCUGGUCGUUCAUAACCUCCCGAAGCCCAGACAGCACAGAUGAUGGUCCUGGAAAUCCCUCCUGUGUGGCUCUAACGAUGCAGUUACAGAUCACAGUCUACCGUUAAGUUGAAGAGUGAGUGAGCUCUCCCAGUGGAGAACGAGGUUAACUCAGGACCAGCCGCUGCGUUUUCACCUGGCUCUGAAAUUCGCAGAAUACAUUUCGUACUUUGCCGUGAGUGCGGACCAGUGAGGCCAUCUUCCAACCACCAGGCUCUCGGUCCUCGGGCGGCCGCUCCCCUCGCACUUCUCAUCUGCUUUCCCGUGGACUGUAGCGAAGCCCGUGCUCCCCCUGUGAGUCGUAAUCGUCGUGGUACGGGAGGUGGACCCACUCGGGCGGGUAGGUGGCCGUGCUGUACACGAAGCACUGUAGGGUCCCGCCCGCCCCCUCAACAGCGACUGUCACCCGGGUGCGCUGGUACAUGUCCGGGCAGCCUUCGAACUCGUCCAGAAAGCGCAGCAUCUGCUCGUCCACGGCGUAGACCUCCCCAGCCACUCGGCGCCCCUGGCCCGGCAGGUUCAGCAGCCGUGGGAUGUUGCGCUGCCCCGCGAUCACCAGCGGGUACGGUUCGACCGUGCGACCCCAGCCCCGGAAGGCCGCGCGACCGUGGGCGCUCUCCAGCAGGACCCGGUGGUUGGGCUGGCCCGUCUUCAGGGUCCCGUACACGAACACGUGGGCCAUGC